GACGAACGCUGGCGGCGUGCUUAAUACAUGCAAGUCGAACGGAAAGGCGCUGCUCUUGCGGGGUGCUCGUGUGGCGAACAGGUGAGUGUAACGUGUGUAACACGCCCUUGACUUUGGGGUAACACCAGGAAAAUGGGGCUCAAAUCGGAUAGAAGCUCCUGCUGCACGUGGGGGGUUGGUAAGAUUCGGCGGUUGGGGAUGGACUCGCGGCUUAUGAGCUUGUUGGUGGGGUAGUGGCUUACCAAGGCUUUGACGGGUAGCCGGCCUGGGAGGGGGACCGGCCACAUUGGGACUGGGGUACGGGCCAGAGGGGUACGUGAGGCAGCGGUGGGGAACAUUGCGGAAUGGGCGGAAGCCUGAUACAACAACGUCGGGUGCGGAAGGACGGCCGUCGGGUUGUAAACCGCUUUCGCCUGGAACGAAGACUGAGUGACGGUAAUUGAUAAGAAAGCACCGGCUAACUACGUG
This 468-nucleotide ribosomal RNA is filed under the name uncultured bacterium. RNAcentral describes it as "partial 16S ribosomal RNA". It matches the Rfam family "Bacterial small subunit ribosomal RNA", at positions 28 to 507 of the family's 1533-position model. The record is from RNAcentral.